GACGAACGCUGGCGGCGUGCUUAACACAUGCAAGUCGAACGGAAAGGCCCUGCUUUUGUGGGGUGCUCGAGUGGCGAACGGGUGAGUAACACGUGAGUAACCUGCCCUUGACUUUGGGAUAACUUCAGGAAACUGGGGCUAAUACCGGAUAGGAGCUCCUGCUGCAUGGUGGGGGUUGGAAAGUUUCGGCGGUUGGGGAUGGACUCGCGGCUUAUCAGCUUGUUGGUGGGGUAGUGGCUUACCAAGGCUUUGACGGGUAGCCGGCCUGAGAGGGUGACCGGCCACAUUGGGACUGAGAUACGGCCCAGACUCCUACGGGAGGCAGCAGUGGGGAAUAUUGCACAAUGGGCGGAAGCCUGAUGCAGCAACGCCGCGUGCGGGAUGACGGUCUUCGGGUUGUAAACCGCUUUCGCCUGUGACGAAGCGUGAGUGACGGUAAUGGGCAAAGAAGCACCGGCUAACUACGUG
This 468-nucleotide ribosomal RNA is filed under the name uncultured bacterium. Its description in RNAcentral is "partial 16S ribosomal RNA". It matches the Rfam family "Bacterial small subunit ribosomal RNA", at positions 28 to 507 of the family's 1533-position model. The record is from RNAcentral.